Cyprinus carpio carpio is the source of this 1146-nucleotide long non-coding RNA. NCBI's taxonomy places the organism in Eukaryota, Metazoa, Chordata, Actinopteri, Cypriniformes, Cyprinidae. The record is from Ensembl.
UACACAGGAAAUGCCACGUGUACCAAGUGCGCAUGCGCGCUCUCCGUGCUCCGGUCGACUUCCGCUGAGAGGAAACCGCUGUUUAUCACCGCGACGCUCGGCAGCGCGAGACAGAGAUGACCGCCGCUCGCUAACCGACCCGACUUCACGAUGUCCAGCGGCGGCUUCGCGUCACAGAACGGCGCCGGAGGCUCGUACGCGAAUGGUGAGUAACCCGCGUCUGACGCGUUUAAACGCGCCGCGCGCAGGCCGAGAGUUUCUCCGGAGUUCGAUCGCGACGCGACGCGACGAGACCGGCCAGAACUCUAGUGCGUCGCGUCGCUGGAUGAGGGCCGAGUAAAGUUAAUCACUAGCGACUAGUCAGACGGGUUAACCGCGUUAGUUAGUUAGUUAGUUAGUUAGUGUACUGGUGACGAGACUCGCUUCAGUUCUACAGUCCGGAGUUAAGUGUGUAGAUGUCAUGAAAUACGGUCUUAUAGAAUUAAUUCGUCACAGUGCAGGUCAGGAGCAUUUUUAAACCAACAAGUGAAUGUAAAGAUGCUUAAAGGGGUCAUGUGAUGCUGCUAAGAAGAACAUUAUUUUGUGUAUUUGGUGUAAUGUGUUUAUGCAGUUUUAAGGUUAAAAACACAUUAUUUUCCGCAUACUGUACAUUAUUGUUUCUCCUCUGUCUUCUGAAACAUGUUAAUUUACACAAAGUUCAUCUCUCUGAAAAGCGAGGUGUGCUCUGAUUGGCCAGCUGUCCAGCGCGUUGUGAUUGGAUGAAUGCCUCAAGCGUGUGACGGAAAUGUUACGCCUCUUAAAGCGUUAGUUCACCCAAAAAAAUGAAAAUUAUGUCAUUAAUGACUCACCCUCAUGUCGUUCCAAACCCGUGAGACCUCCGUUCAUCUUCGGAACACAGUUUAAGAUAUUUUAGAUUUAGUCCGAGAGCUUUCUGUCCCUCCAUUGAGAAUGUAUGUACGGUAUACUGUCCACGUCCAGAAAGGUAAUAAAAACAUCUUCAAAGUAGUCCAUGUGACAUCAGAGGGUCCGUUAGAAUUUACUGAAGCAUCGAAAAUACAUUUUGGUCCAAAAAUAUCAAAAAUGACAACUUUAUUCAGCAUUUUCUUCUCUUCCGGGUCUGCUGACGUGUUUUCUUUGUUAUUGGGC